GUGGCGAACGGGUGAGUAACACAUCGGAACGCAUCCUGUAAUGGGGGAUAACCUGGCGAAAGCCAGGCUAAUACCGCAUACGUCCUGAGGGAGAAAGCGGGGGAUCGGAGACGACCUCGCGUUAUAGGAGCGGCCGAUGUCGGAUUAGCUGGUUGGUGGGGUAAAGGCCCACCAAGGCGACGAUCCGUAGCUGGUCUGAGAGGAUGAUCAGCCACACUGGGACUGAGACACGGCCCAGACUCCUACGGGAGGCAGCAGUGGGGAAUUUUGGACAAUGGGCGCAAGCCUGAUCCAGCCAUUCCGCGUGAGUGAAGAAGGCCUUCGGGUUGUAAAGCUCUUUCGGCCGGGAAGAAAUCGCUCUGGUUAAUACCUGGGGUGGAUGACGGUACCGGAAGAAGAAGCACCGGCUAACUACGUGCCAGCAGCCGCGGUAAUACGUAGGGUGCGAGCGUUAAUCGGAAUUACUGGGCGUAAAGCGUGCGCAGGCGGCCGCAUAAGACAGAUGUGAAAUCCCCGGGCUCAACCUGGGAACUGCGUUUGUGACUGUGUGGCUCGAGUGCGGCAGAGGGGGGUGGAAUUCCACGUGUAGCAGUGAAAUGCGUAGAGAUGUGGAGGAACACCGAUGGCGA
Molecule: ribosomal RNA, 629 nt
Filed under: uncultured beta proteobacterium
Lineage: Bacteria; Pseudomonadati; Pseudomonadota; Betaproteobacteria
Description: bacterial SSU rRNA
Rfam family: Bacterial small subunit ribosomal RNA
Source: RNAcentral